CCUACGGGUGGCAGCAGUGAGGAAUAUUGGUCAAUGGGCGGAAGUCUGAACCAGCCAUGCCGCGUGCAGGAUGUCGGCUCUAUGAGUUGUAAACUGCUUUUAUACGAGGAUAACCCGCGUUACGUGUAUCGCGUUGAAAGUACCGUAUGAAUAAGGAUCGGCUAACUCCGUGCCAGCAGCCGCGGUAAUACGGAGGAUCCGAGCGUUAUCCGGAUUUAUUGGGUUUAAAGGGUGCGUAGGCGGAUGUUUAAGGUAGCGGUAAAAGCUUGGGGCUCAACCCCAUCCAGCCGUGGAAACUGGGGAUCUAGAGUGUGCGGGAGGUAGGCGGAAUGCGUGGUGUAGCGGUGAAAUGCAUAGAUAGGACGAAGAACCCCGAUUGCGAAGGCAGCAUACUGGUGCACAACUGACGCUGAGGCACGAAAGCGUGGGUAUCGAACAGGAUUAGAUACCCGAGUAGUC
RNAcentral lists this ribosomal RNA (459 nucleotides) under uncultured bacterium. RNAcentral's name for it is "partial 16S ribosomal RNA". It matches the Rfam family "Bacterial small subunit ribosomal RNA", at positions 338 to 795 of the family's 1533-position model. The record is from RNAcentral.